This 66-nucleotide transfer RNA is filed under the name Arocatus aenescens. Its description in RNAcentral is "transfer RNA-Leu". The record is from RNAcentral. Lineage: Eukaryota; Metazoa; Arthropoda; Insecta; Hemiptera; Lygaeidae.
UCUAAUAUGGCAGAAUAUAUGCAAUGAAUUUAAGCUUCAUUUAUAAAGAUUAAUCUUUUAUUGGAA